GGAUAGCUCAGUUGGGUAGAGCAGGUGACGUUAAUCAUCGGGUCGCGGGUUCGAAUCCCGCUCCA
This 65-nucleotide transfer RNA is filed under the name Bradyrhizobium japonicum. Its description in RNAcentral is "tRNA-OTHER". It matches the Rfam family "tRNA", at positions 5 to 66 of the family's 71-position model. Rfam says of the family: Transfer RNA (tRNA) molecules are approximately 80 nucleotides in length. The record is from RNAcentral. RNAcentral also lists the same sequence under 6 other names. Lineage: Bacteria; Pseudomonadati; Pseudomonadota; Alphaproteobacteria; Hyphomicrobiales; Nitrobacteraceae.